ACGCCCCGCAAGGGGAGUGGCAGACGGGUGAGUAACGCGUGGGAUUCUACCCAAUUCUUCGGAACAACUGAGGGAAACUUCAGCUAAUACCGGAUACGCCCUACGGGGGAAAGAUUUAUCGGAAUUGGAUGAGCCCGCGUUGGAUUAGCUAGUUGGUGAGGUAAUGGCUCACCAAGGCGACGAUCCAUAGCUGGUCUGAGAGGAUGAUCAGCCACACUGGGACUGAGACACGGCCCAGACUCCUACGGGAGGCAGCAGUGGGGAAUAUUGGACAAUGGGCGAAAGCCUGAUCCAGCCAUGCCGCGUGAGUGAUGAAGGCCUUAGGGUUGCAAAGCUCUUUCAGUAGGGACGAUAAUGACGGUACCUACAGAAGAAGCCCCGGCUAACUUCGUGCCAGCAGCCGCGGUAAUACGAAGGGGGCUAGCGUUGUUCGGAUUUACUGGGCGUAAAGCGCACGUAGGCGGAUCGUUAAGUCGGGGGUGAAAUCCUGGAGCUCAACUCCAGAACUGCCUUCGAUACUGGCGAUCUUGAGUCCGGAAGAGGUGAGUGGAACUCCUAGUGUAGAGGUGGAAUUCGU
This 577-nucleotide ribosomal RNA is filed under the name uncultured bacterium. Its description in RNAcentral is "bacterial SSU rRNA". It matches the Rfam family "Bacterial small subunit ribosomal RNA", at positions 66 to 691 of the family's 1533-position model. The record is from RNAcentral.